This 467-nucleotide ribosomal RNA is filed under the name uncultured bacterium. Its description in RNAcentral is "partial 16S ribosomal RNA". It matches the Rfam family "Bacterial small subunit ribosomal RNA", at positions 29 to 507 of the family's 1533-position model. The record is from RNAcentral.
ACGAACGCUGGCGGCGUGCUUAACACAUGCAAGUCGAACGGAAAGGCCCUGCUUUUGUGGGGUGCUCGAGUGGCGAACGGGUGAGUAACACGUGAGUAACCUGCCCUUGACUUUGGGAUAACUUCAGGAAACUGGGGCUAAUACCGGAUAGGAGCUCCUGCUGCAUGGUGGGGGUUGGAAAGUUUCGGCGGUUGGGGAUGGACUCGCGGCUUAUCAGCUUGUUGGUGGGGUAGUGGCUUACCAAGGCUUUGACGGGUAGCCGGCCUGAGAGGGUGGCCGGCCACAUUGGGACUGAGAUACGGCCCAGACUCCUACGGGAGGCAGCAGUGGGGAAUAUUGCACAAUGGGCGGAAGCCUGAUGCAGCAACGCCGCGUGCGGGAUGACGGCCUUCGGGUUGUAAACCGCUUUCGCCUGUGACGAAGCGUGAGUGACGGUAAUGGGUAAAGAAGCACCGGCUAACUACGUG